This 254-nucleotide ribosomal RNA is filed under the name uncultured bacterium. RNAcentral describes it as "partial 16S ribosomal RNA". It matches the Rfam family "Bacterial small subunit ribosomal RNA", at positions 524 to 776 of the family's 1533-position model. The record is from RNAcentral.
UACGAGGGGGGCUAGCGUUGCUCGGAAUUAUUGGGCGUAAAGAGCUCGUAGGCGGUCUGUCGCGUCGAUCGUGAAAACUUGGGGCUUAACCCUGAGCUUGCGGUCGAUACGGGCAUGACUGGAGUUCGGCAGGGGAGACUGGAAUUCCUGGUGUAGCGGUGAAAUGCGCAGAUAUCAGGAGGAACGCCGGUGGCGAAGGCGGGUCUCUGGGCCGAUACUGACGCUGAGGAGCGAAAGCGUGGGGAGCGAACAGG